AAAAAAUUUAAUUUAUAUUUUUUAUUAAUUUUUAAAUUUAUAAUAAUAUAUAAAUUUUUGUAUAAAAAUAUUUAAAUUAAAAAAAUUUUUUUAAUAAUUAAAAUUAAUAAAAAAAAGAAAUUUUUUAUUUGUAAAAUUUUUAAUAAUAAAUUAAAAAAGUGCCAGCAAUAGCGGUUAAACUUUUUUAUAUAAAAUUAAUUUAUUUAAUUAAUUAAUUAAUUAUUAAAUUUUAAUUAAAAUUAAUAUAUAAAUAUUAAAUAUAAGGUUAAAUAAAUUAUUUUUUAUAUAUAUAUUAAUAAUUAAAAUUUUUAUGAUAUUUAAUAAAUUUAAAUUUAAAACUAGGAUUAGAUACCCUAUUAUAUAAAUGUAAAUAAAAAGAUUAAUAAAGUAAAUUUAAUAAUGAAAUAAAUAAAUUUGACGGUAUUUUAAUUUAUUCAGGGGAACUUGUUGUAUAAUUGAUAAUCCACGAAAAGAAUAACUUAUAUUUUUAUAUUUAUGUAUAUUCGUUUUAAAAAUUUUUCUUAAGAAAAAUUUUUAAAAUUUAAAAUUUUUAAAUAAUUCAGAUAAAUAUGUAAUUUAUAUAUAAGAAUUUAAUGAGUUACAAUAAAUUAUAUUUAUAAUAAUUUUUUUAAAAAAUUAAUAAUUAGGAUUUGAUUGUAAAAUUAAUUAAUUUAUUAAUUUGAUUAAUUAAAUAUUAAAAUAUGUACAAAUCGCCCGUCAAUUUAAUUAAAUUUAAUAAUAAAAUUUAUUUUAUUUAUUAUUAUUUUAAAUUAAAUAAGUCGUAACAAAGUAAAAGUACUGGAAAGUGUUUUUAGAAUUUU
Molecule: ribosomal RNA, 821 nt
Filed under: Parnips nigripes
Lineage: Eukaryota; Metazoa; Arthropoda; Insecta; Hymenoptera; Figitidae
Description: 12S ribosomal RNA
Source: RNAcentral